CCUACGGGGUGCUGCAGUGAGGAAUAUUGGUCAAUGGGCGAGAGCCUGAACCAGCCAAGUCGCGUGAAGGAUGACGGCCUACGGGUUGUAAACUUCUUUUGUCGGGGAGCAAUUGUGUCCACGCGUUGGCUUAGCGCACGUACCUUACGAACAAGCAUCGGCUAACUCCGUGCCAGCAGCCGCGGUAAUACGGAGGAUACGAGCGUUAUCCGGAUUUAGUGGGUUUAAAGGGUGCGUAGGCGGAAUGUCAAGUCAGCGGUAAAAAUUCGGGGCUCACCCCCGGCGUGCCGUUGAAACUGAUGUGCGUGAGUGGGCGAGAAGUAGGUGGAAUGCGUGGUGUAGCGGUGAAAUGCAUAGAUAUCACGCAGAACUCCGAUUGCGAAGGCAGCAUACCGGAGCCCAACUGACGCUGAAGCACGAAAGCGUGGGUAGCGAACAGGAUUAGAUACCCGGGUAGUC
This 459-nucleotide ribosomal RNA is filed under the name uncultured bacterium. RNAcentral's name for it is "partial 16S ribosomal RNA". It matches the Rfam family "Bacterial small subunit ribosomal RNA", at positions 338 to 795 of the family's 1533-position model. The record is from RNAcentral.